GUAACAAGGUCUCCGUUGGUGAACCAGCGGAGGGAUCAUUACCGAGUUUACAACUCCCAAACCCAAUGUGAACCAUACCAAACUGUUGCCUCGGCGGGGUCACGCCCCGGGUGCGUCGCAGCCCCGGAACCAGGCGCCCGCCGGAGGGACCAACCAAACUCUUUUCUGUAGUCCCCUCGCGGACGUUAUUUCUUACAGCUCUGAGCAAAAAUUCAAAAUGAAUCAAAACUUUCAACAACGGAUCUCUUGGUUCUGGCAUCGAUGAAGAACGCAGCGAAAUGCGAUAAGUAAUGUGAAUUGCAGAAUUCAGUGAAUCAUCGAAUCUUUGAACGCACAUUGCGCCCGCCAGUAUUCUGGCGGGCAUGCCUGUCCGAGCGUCAUUUCAACCCUCGAACCCCUCCGGGGGGUCGGCGUUGGGGACCUCGGGAGCCCCUAAGACGGGAUCCCGGCCCCGAAAUACAGUGGCGGUCUCGCCGCAGCCUCUCCUGCGCAGUAGUUUGCACAACUCGCACCGGGAGCGCGGCGCGUCCACGUCCGUAAAACACCCAACUUCUGAAAUGUUGACCUCGGAUCAGGUAGGAAUACCCGCUGAACCUAAGCAUAUCA
Molecule: unclassified non-coding RNA, 606 nt
Filed under: Trichoderma atroviride
Lineage: Eukaryota; Fungi; Ascomycota; Sordariomycetes; Hypocreales; Hypocreaceae
Description: sequence contains 18S rRNA gene, ITS1, 5.8S rRNA gene, ITS2, 28S rRNA gene
Rfam family: 5.8S ribosomal RNA (bases 227-380)
Source: RNAcentral